GCAAACUUGGUCAUUUAGAGGAAGUAAAAGUCGUAACAAGGUUUCCGUAGGUGAACCUGCGGAAGGAUCAUCAGUGAUUCGGGGGGGGGCCAACUAUGUUGUGCUGUACCCCCAACCAAUCUUGUGUGAACUGUAAUAAGCACUACGUGUGAAGGAAGGGUUGGCGGCACGGAGGAGGGGAGACCCACCCACCGCCGCCGCCACCCUCACACGAGCAUUAUCUCCUUAUCAAUCUUGUCUAACAUUAAACACUCAAUUACACAACUUUUAACAAUGGAUCUCUUGGCUCUCGCAUCGAUGAAGAACGCAGC
This 311-nucleotide unclassified non-coding RNA is filed under the name uncultured fungus. RNAcentral describes it as "partial contains small subunit ribosomal RNA, internal transcribed spacer 1, and 5.8S ribosomal RNA". The stretch from base 1 to 73 matches the Rfam family "Eukaryotic small subunit ribosomal RNA", at positions 1759 to 1831 of the family's 1831-position model. The record is from RNAcentral. Lineage: Eukaryota; Fungi.